Peniophora sp. CONT is the source of this 74-nucleotide non-coding RNA. NCBI's taxonomy places the organism in Eukaryota, Fungi, Basidiomycota, Agaricomycetes, Russulales, Peniophoraceae. The record is from Rfam.
GGCCGGUUAGCUCAGUUGGUUAGAGCGUCGUGCUAAUAACGCGAAGGUCUUGGGUUCGAUCCCCACACUGGCCA